UUGAUGUUUUAAUUGGAUGUCACUCAAUAUCUAUAUACUAUAAGACAUCAAAAUUCUGUCAAGAAUUAAUAUGGUUGACCAGGUGUGUUGGAACACACAUGUGAUCCCAGCAGCUCAGGAGAUUUAGGCAGGUGGAUCACAAGUUCAAAGACAGCCUCAGCAACUUAGCAAGUUCCUAAGCAACUGAGAUCAUAUCUCAAAAAAUAAAAAGGUUUGGGGUGUGGCUUAGUGGUUGAGUGCCCCUAAAUUCAAUCCCUGGUACAAAAAAAAGAUGUGGUUGUAAUUGUUGGAUCUUACAACUUGGUAAAAUUAUCCAAUAAAGGUAAAAUGAUAAACUGACAAAUUUUAGCAAACUCAGAUUUAAAAAGCUAUUAAAAGAUAUUUUGUGUGUAAAAGAAAAGAGACUAU
This 408-nucleotide long non-coding RNA is filed under the name Marmota monax (woodchuck). The record is from RNAcentral. Lineage: Eukaryota; Metazoa; Chordata; Mammalia; Rodentia; Sciuridae.